ACUCAGUACUUAGGAUGUGUUUUUUGUUGUGCUUGUGCACUUCACUGUUUGUCCUAUCCUGUCAUGUCUUUUGUCUUGUCUGCGCAUGGGACAGUGAGAAACGCAAUUUCGAUUCCUUUGCAUGUCCAGUGCAUGAGAAGGAAUUGACAAUAAAGCUGACUUUGACUUUGACUUUGACUUGACAUGACAGGUCAUGCCACAGUGAUGCCUCUAGAUGUGAUGACCGAUUCAGUAAUGAUGUCUCCGGGCCCCUGGCCAGAUCCAGACAUGGUGAAAGAUCACGGUACAGUGAUCUUAGCAGCCCCCCAUAUGACAGACCUUCGCAUGAUGCAGUGACUGAGAGUGGGAGAUGGACUUUCCCAUUACCUUGGGAUGUGUACCAAAAAAAGGUCCUGACUUUACUGGUAGACAUUCGCCAUCGCCUGAAGGAAACACAGCCUGCCUCUUCAGCUGUCCAUAUUCGGAGGAUUGACACCAUGGAGGAUUUUGAAUUACAGGAGCAACAACUCUCUGAUGCACAGGCCUUCAAUACCCUGGUGCGGCAAAUUUCAAAAAUCGGUGGGCGGAACUCCAAGGACUGUGUCCAGAAAGUGUUGGACAGGCCGUUAGUGAAGACACUAACGGCCUGAUGGCAAAGUUUAAUAUGAAGGGCAAGGGGAAAAGGGGCAAAAAGCCUUUGGAAGGAACAAAAGUUUAUCGAGCUAUACAAGGUCAGCCCAAGUUUCAUGUUGACCAAUCUGUAAAUAAUGACUUUACACAAAAUAUUGCCUUCCCUGCUGAUAUUUAAAAAACAAUGCCAACUGUCUACCAUGGCUAUCUUAUCAGUUGCUGAGAUGGUUUUGUAUUAAUUCAGUAAUGGUAGUUGAUGAACAGGAAACAUAUUUUCGCAAAUGUCAGGUGUGUAUGAAUGCAGAUCACCUUUGCAUAUAUCUAAAUCAUUUGUCU
Paramormyrops kingsleyae is the source of this 945-nucleotide non-coding RNA. Lineage: Eukaryota; Metazoa; Chordata; Actinopteri; Osteoglossiformes; Mormyridae. The record is from RefSeq and is a predicted model, not a curated record.